This 397-nucleotide ribosomal RNA is filed under the name uncultured bacterium. RNAcentral's name for it is "bacterial SSU rRNA". It matches the Rfam family "Bacterial small subunit ribosomal RNA", at positions 114 to 507 of the family's 1533-position model. The record is from RNAcentral.
UGUCUGGGAAACUGCCUGAUGGAGGGGGAUAACUACUGGAAACGGUAGCUAAUACCGCAUAACGUCGCAAGACCAAAAAGGGGGACCUUCGGGCCUCUUGCCAUCGGAUGUGCCCAGAUGGGAUUAGCUAGUAGGUGGGGUAACGGCUCACCUAGGCGACGAUCCCUAGCUGGUCUGAGAGGAUGACCAGCCACACUGGAACUGAGACACGGUCCAGACUCCUACGGGAGGCAGCAGUGGGGAAUAUUGCACAAUGGGCGCAAGCCUGAUGCAGCCAUGCCGCGUGUAUGAAGAAGGCCUUCGGGUUGUAAAGUACUUUCAGCGGGGAGGAAGGGAGUAAAGUUAAUACCUUUGCUCAUUGACGUUACCCGCAGAAGAAGCACCGGCUAACUCCGUC